This 659-nucleotide long non-coding RNA is filed under the name Setaria italica (foxtail millet). Its description in RNAcentral is "long non-coding RNA (SITA_LNC003182)". Lineage: Eukaryota; Viridiplantae; Streptophyta; Magnoliopsida; Poales; Poaceae. The record is from RNAcentral.
GCAGAUGGCAUCCUCUCAUGUCCAUCUCUCUUCAAACUAGCAAAGAAAUUAAACCCACAACAAAACCCCUGCAUAUUUGCACGUAGAAACACAGAGUCACUCUAGCAUGCGUAUGUCACUUGCAUGAACUUGUCGAUCAGACGGUGCAGGUGUAGCCUGGCGGCGGCGUCUUGCCGCAGGUGAGGAGGAGCUGGAGCGCCAGGGGUAGGUAGAUGUUGAUGUUGAGGAGCUUGAGCUUGAUGGUGGUGCAGAGGCACACCGCCGCCUCCAGCUCCACCAGCCCCUCCAGCACCGGGCAGCACUUGUUCACCACGGGGUCGCCGAGCCCGACGUGCACCAGACCGCCCAGCAGGUCCACGCACGCCCCCAGCUUCAGCGAGUCCGCCGGGCAAGUCGGCGACGACGGCGUCGUCGGGGUCGAGGGAGGCGGCGGCGGGCACGGCGUCGAUGGGCUGCCCCCGCCUCCGCCGCCGGGCGGGUAGGUGACGGGCGGGCCGGUCACCGGAGGCGUCGUCGACGGCGGGCCGGUGAUAGGAGGGACGGUGACUGGGGGGCCGGUGAUCGGAGGGACUGUGACCGGUGGGCCCGUGAUCGGCGGGUACGUCACCGGCGGGCCGACGACCGGCGGCGUCGUCGGAGGGCCGGUGAUCGGCGGGUAG